UGUAGUUCAGUGGUAGAGUGCUUGCCUAGCAUGCACAAACUCUGGGUUCAAGUCCCAGCA
This 60-nucleotide transfer RNA is filed under the name Heterocephalus glaber (naked mole-rat). It matches the Rfam family "tRNA", at positions 6 to 65 of the family's 71-position model. Rfam says of the family: Transfer RNA (tRNA) molecules are approximately 80 nucleotides in length. The record is from Rfam by way of RNAcentral. Lineage: Eukaryota; Metazoa; Chordata; Mammalia; Rodentia; Bathyergidae.